Molecule: ribosomal RNA, 497 nt
Filed under: uncultured bacterium
Lineage: Bacteria
Description: partial 16S ribosomal RNA
Rfam family: Bacterial small subunit ribosomal RNA
Source: RNAcentral
GAUGAACGCUGGCGGCGUGCCUAAUACAUGCAAGUCGAGCGAACGGACGAGAAGCUUGCUUCUCUGAUGUUAGCGGCGGACGGGUGAGUAACACGUGGAUAACCUACCUAUAAGACUGGGAUAACUUCGGGAAACCGGAGCUAAUACCGGAUAAUAUUUUGAACCGCAUGGUUCAAAAGUGAAAGACGGUCUUGCUGUCACUUAUAGCUGGAUCCGCGCUGCAUUAGCUAGUUGGUAAGGUAACGGCUUACCAAGGCAAUGAUGCAUAGCCGACCUGAGAGGGUGAUCGGCCACACUGGAGCUGAGACACGGUCCAGACUCCUACGGGAGGCAGCAGUAGGGAAUCUUCCGCAAUGGGCGAAAGCCUGACGGAGCAACGCCGCGUGAGUGAUGAAGGUCUUCGGAUCGUAAAACUCUGUUAUUAGGGAAGAACAUAUGUGUAAGUAACUGUGCACAGCUUGACGGUACCUAAUCAGAAAGCCACGGCUAACUACGUG